RNAcentral lists this long non-coding RNA (1125 nucleotides) under Gallus gallus (chicken). RNAcentral describes it as "lncRNA (ENSGALG00010027587.1)". The record is from RNAcentral. Lineage: Eukaryota; Metazoa; Chordata; Aves; Galliformes; Phasianidae.
CUUCAAACAAACAAAUUCAUCUCCUCCUGCUGCUGUAUGACUUUAGAAGAAUCUCCAUGACUACUAAUUUUCCAGGGAUGGACUACUUUAUGACAAGGGCGUUGAUCUGAAUUCAGGAAAUGCUCGAGAUUCAUCACUGAAUGUCAUAAUUGGAUUGACUAUUGGUUACCCAAAGUAGCUGUGCCCUUGCCUGGGGUCCAGCAGGCUGGGUUAAUGCAUUGGCUGUAUCACUGGCUCCUUGAUCUUAGGCUUCACUGCAUUUGUGACACACCUGUUUUAUAGGGUCUUACAGCCUUCUUUUGUAGUACAAGGAAAUAGGCAAAGUUAAAUUUAAUCAUUUAAAGAUUGUAAUCUGGUCUAAACUAAUUGUGUAGGUGUUGUUGUUGUACCAGGGAUUAGCUCAUCAUAGAGACCCUACCCUAGCCUUCUCUCUGGAGAAGCUGAUCUCUCAUCAUGGACUCUAGAGGGAGCCUGGAUGACUGCUUCAGAGCAGAUUUGCAAUUUCUAGAUAGCUAAAACGAGGUGAUACACACCCUGGCAGGGCUAUUUUCUACCUAAGAGUUCUCAUUACAUUUUUCUAUCUCAGCAAAAUGCAACAUUGACUCUUGGAAGCUGUGUAGUUCCAGUUGUGUUUUACUUAUGCUCUGGUGAGAAGGUGCAAGGAAACUGCAGGUAUCAGAAGUGAAACUCAAAGAUAAUGGGGACCUUUAUACACUGAUGAACAAUUCCUGUGGCUGUCACUUUGCUGAUGAAUAGAAAAAAAUGACAGAAGCACUGAUCUGUUUGGACCCUGUCCUUGUCUACUUGCUUGUCAGGACUCUCAGACGUUGUCUCAGUAACUUUUGAACCUGUUGCUCAAUUUUAAAUGAAUUUAACAGCUGGACAAAAGUUCUGUAAAUACAAAAAUACUGCAAGUUUUGUGAAAAAAUGUUGCUGUGUGAAGAGGAAAAAUUCCAGAAAAGAACCAUCCGCAUGCGAUACGCUGCAGGGUGAAACCCUCAUUGAAGAAGCAGUAAGGAUGGAGCUGCAGGAGACAAAACUCUGUAAGCUCUGCUGUUCAUGGAACUGCUUUUCUUUGCAAUUUUCUUCUGUUUAAAGAAGGAACUGCUUCUCUACCUUUGUCCC